ACACAACUCUGGAGAGUCCCUUAAAUGGGCGCCGAAGGUGCACGGAUGGCAACAUCCUUAUCUCUCAGGCCAGUGGACAGAGAA
This 84-nucleotide non-coding RNA is filed under the name uncultured Phascolarctobacterium sp. RNAcentral's name for it is "Glycine riboswitch". It matches the Rfam family "Glycine riboswitch aptamer", at positions 9 to 86 of the family's 94-position model. From Rfam's summary of the family: This family represents the bacterial glycine riboswitch. Glycine riboswitches usually consist of two metabolite-binding aptamers domains with similar structures in tandem. The aptamers cooperatively bind glycine to regulate the expression of downstream genes. Lineage: Bacteria; Bacillati; Bacillota; Negativicutes; Acidaminococcales; Acidaminococcaceae. The record is from RNAcentral.